UAUAUUUAAGUCGAGUUUCCUUCCAUUGAAAAUAAAACUUCUAGACAGUUUCGAUCCUGAGAAACUACAAGAUCGCUGGAAGAAGCUACUGUCCAAAUUUUGGGAAAGCUUCAAUGGAAAGCUAGCAUUCAUACAUGACGAUUGUGUUAUUUUACUGCAACCCUAUGAGAAAGCAAUAACUGGCCUAUAUCUAUUGCUCGUGAAAUAAUUUCGAGGAUUACUCAAUUUCAAAGGUUUGCCGUUAUUGAAAGCAGAGACGUUUCUGCGCAUGACUUCUUUACAAUGAAAAGAAAGCACGGCACAAUGAAAAAGUGGUUAAUUGGGG
Long non-coding RNA from Xenia sp. Carnegie-2017, 325 nucleotides. RefSeq lists it as uncharacterized. Lineage: Eukaryota; Metazoa; Cnidaria; Anthozoa; Malacalcyonacea; Xeniidae. The record is from RefSeq and is a predicted model, not a curated record. The transcript has 3 exons.